UCUCCCAUUCUCUCUCUAGACUAGAACCGCCCCUGUUGACCCAUUUUCUUGAAAUCUAAACCCUAAUCUUGAUUAAACACUCUCAAAACCUCCAAAUCUUCAUCUAUUUCUCAUUCUUCCACAAUCUUUUUGUCCCCUUCCUCUUCUCAUCAUCCCGAAGCUUCGUCGGAGCGUCGCCCUCUGCACUGCUUCCUUCCUUCCUACCAUUUCCAAAGAAAAGCAUACAAAAUAGUUCGAAUAGAGAACAAUUGGGUGAAUAUGUGGGGGCACAGGGGAGCAAGUCAUAUGCGGCGCACAGAGCAAACAAACAAAUAUAAGCCCUAUUGUGUUUCAUAAGAUGGUGCAUUGGGAUGAAAAGACUGGUUGGAGUGAUUCUUUGGCAGAGCAACAUUAUGAGGAUAUGAUUCGAAUUCGCGAAGCACAACAAGAAAUUGAGGAGCAAAAUGAAGAAGGGACAUUUCCGCCACGCAACAAUCGCCUUUCAGAUUAAGAAAUUGUGGAUCGAGUUUGUAAACCCAAAUCAGUAUACAUAAAGGGCUUGGGAAAUAAGACUGUUGAUUCGAAGAGGACUCUCCAUGGUUGUUCUUCCUCUUUCUCUUCUCAACAUCCAGAAUAUGAAGUGUUAUCCCAGCGAUUCAGUGACUAUAGACAAUUUCAGGAGGCAAAAAAUCUCCAGACUCAACAAACAAUUGAUCAUUUAACUGAACUGAUGCGGUCUCAAUUUCCUCACCUUUUCCCACAAUAUGGACCGCCCUCGCUGCCACCUCAAUGAACAAAUUUGGUUUUCUUUACUACUCUCUAGUAUUUACCUUGCACUUAGUUUUAAAUUAUAACUUAUUUUUUUAUUGGACUUAGAUGUUCUUACUGAAGACUUGUACUAAUUACUUAUGAUGGCAACCUAGAUCUUUU
Molecule: long non-coding RNA, 909 nt
Organism: Morus notabilis
Lineage: Eukaryota; Viridiplantae; Streptophyta; Magnoliopsida; Rosales; Moraceae
Exons: 3
Source: RefSeq, a predicted model, not a curated record